Molecule: unclassified non-coding RNA, 4980 nt
Filed under: Amphibalanus amphitrite
Lineage: Eukaryota; Metazoa; Arthropoda; Thecostraca; Balanomorpha; Balanidae
Description: zinc finger protein Gfi-1-like, transcript variant X2
Source: RNAcentral
CUAGUUUCCUGUCAACAACCGAAACAGCAGAAACAACGGCGGGGUUCAGGUUCAUUGGCGCUAUUUUCUACAAUUUUUCCUAUUUUUUGCUUAGUUUCCUUUGAUAUUUUUGGCUCAGUUAUUUUCAGGAAUAAGUGGAAUUAGGACUUGUUGCUACCAUUUUAAGGAAUUCUUUUAGCGAUCAGUUUUGGUGGCAGUGAUGGUCCAAAGGCUCGCUCAGAAAUCGGCGUUAGACCUGUUGUGUGAGGUUGCGCUGGCGCCUGGAGACGCAAUAGUCUCCGAACUUUUGGCCAAUGACCUCAGGAUUGAAAAGGAAAAGGCGGCCAAGCGUUCCGGUAAUGGCGUACUGGACCUGGACGAGAUUCUCCAGCUCACGCCCAAACAGUUAGUGAAACACUUCACCCACUUUGAGUCCAACGAGCUGAAGCGGACGUUCAAGCACACGUGUCGUCUGGUGCCGUCCGAGUGCCAGUACGAGACCACCAGCUUCGGCAGCGAGGACAAGUCGCUGCGUGAGAUCAAACGGCAUCUGCAGGAGCACCUGGAACAACUCAAGACAGAGAGCACGGGCCGUAUAAUAUUCACGGCUGAAACUACUGUGCCUAUACCACGGAGGGUUAUCGAGUCGCGCCAAGGCAAAAAAUCACCGGUCGAGGCCUCUCGUGAAAAGCGGUCUUACAUUGCUCACGAGCUUGUUCCCCAAGCACCUGAAGCCCCCGACAAUCAUGCUGCUAGCCCAGAACGGGCAUAUGCUCAACGAUCGUCGCCGUCGGAGAGGCCGUCGAAACGAACUCCGACAAGGCCCAAGAAGCGCCCGGUGGAGUCGCCGCCGCCGGCACUGGUCAGUCCUCCGGAGCGGUCCCAGUCCCGCCGGAGACGCACCAUCGAACCGCCGCCGCCGCCGGCGGCGGUCCAGCCUCCGGCCGUGUCCCCGGCGCCUCCUCCUCCGGCGCCGCCGUCUCCGCCGCGAGAGCAGCUCCGCGAGCACGACUACGCGCGGGACUCCGCACUGGAGUCCUCCGCUGGCCCCUCGGCGGACUCUGCGCCGACACCGCCGGAGCCGUCCGUCAACCCAGCUGAGAGCGAGGCGCCCACGGGUGCUGGCACAGCCAGUCAGAAUCACUCGGCGGUCCCGUUUGAGUCUGACCUAGCUCUGCUUGGUCUCAUGGAGCGGGAAGUGAUUGGACCGGGCUCCGACGACGGCCUCGGCGGCGGUGACAGUGCCGAGAGCAGCGACGGCGUGCCGCUGGUGGGCGCCGAACAGGUGAUCCGCGGCGGCGUGAUGCGCUCCGCGGACCUGCCGGUCAUCAUGGAGGGCGGCUCGGCGACCGUCAGCGGCCUGCGCCGCUACACCCGCGUGGUGGAGCGCGACGAGUAUAAGCAGCACCGGAAGCCCAAGGGGCUGGCCAAGUUCAUCAGCCAGUCGGAGGAGGACAAGGAGAAGGCGCGACAGGCGCUGAUCGAGAUGCGCCUCCGGCCCAGCAUGUGCAACAACUACGUGAACUACGUGUGCCGCGUGUGCUUCCCGCCGCAGCGCUUCACGGCCCUGUCCUCGCUACAGUCGCACUACAAAUGCCACCUAGGCAUCAAGGACUUCUCCUGCAAGCUGUGCCACAAGUCUUUCACUCGAAAGACGUCGCUCGACUGCCACAUGCUGAUCCACGAGCACAAGACGCGGUUCCGCUGCAGCACUUGUGGCCACGAGUUCCGACAAAAGUCGCACUACACCGAGCACCUGCGUCGACACACCGGCGAGACGCCCUACAUGUGCUCCGUCUGCGGCCGGGGUUUCAAGGCGAAGAACUCGUACCGUCGCCACCUGGAGUCGAAGCACGGCCAGCGUCUGACCAACAGCGGCAACAUCGUCAUCCUGUCCGAUGACGAGCACCGCCGGCUGCUGGAGCGCUCCCACCAGGAGAACCGAUCCAGGAGGCCGAGGGCCCGGCCUCGUUCGGACGACUCUCAAGCGCCGCCCAGUCCGAGCAAGAUGGGCUUCUCGUACGUGGACGUCGUGGUGCGUCAGUCGACGGGCCGUGUGGAGUACAUGUCUAACGUGGAGAGCAUCGUGCCGCCGCCGGGCCGUGACGUGCUGGAGCAGGUGGUGGACGCCACGGUGGCUGACGGACCGGGGGAGAAGCCGACGCUGGCAGAGCAGCUUCUGGACCCGCUGCCGCCGCUGGAGAUCCUGCCGCCGCUGCAGGACUGGGAGAGAGAGCUCACCCCCCUGGAUAAGUUCACCCCUGGCGCACCCUCGGUCGCCAAUGAUCGGGUGCAAAGGCCGCGAAUCAAUCUGACCAGCUCUCUUGGCAAGUACAACGUGUUCUACUCGUCGGGCAAUGUGUCCAACAAUGUGCGUGUCGUCCAAAAGUGAGUGGGCGACAGCGCCGUGCGGGGUGGGAGGCACCCCCACCUAGGAAGCGUCCAUGUCUGAUAGACUACAUCAGCUGCGCGUGGUACUGUCGGGGGCAAAGACAAUCCCCGUCGAGAAAGCUGAGUUGAAGUUGGAGACGAAACGGGAAACGUGUACAUUUUGAGGGUCGUAGAGCUUGAUGGAGAGAUUAGACGAGUAUCAAAUCAUGUAGCCAGUAUGCGGUGAUUUCGCGUAGCCAUUGUGUGUGAGAGUAUCGUGUUCUUCAUGAAGAGUCUUGCAGUUCUCUUUUGAUAAUCAUUCGUUUUAGGCGUUCUGGCUCGCCUGCGUCGACCACAAAGCCACCCUUCAGACCCCUCGAAUCGACGCGCUGGUUGAUGCUUCAUAGGCCACUGAAUUUUUGGCCAAGAUGCGUUAUAUCGCAAUGUGUGCCAAAUUACUGGAGUGUUGGGCCGGUGGCGCUUUUCAGGCUGGCUGGCCAUAUGAUGCACAUGGGCAUGAUGCAGACUCCAUCUGCCAUUGUUAGGUGUGUUGCCGAUUCAUUCACUGAUUCGUUCAUCAAUUCAUUCAUUCACUUAUUUAUGCUCACCUUCAUUCAUUCAUUCGCUUCAAUUCGCUCUAUAUUAUUUCUGCAGAUGUCAUCGUCUUAUUUUAUGCAAAGAGCAAUGGAGGUCUUAUUAGUUUUUCUCCGUCCUAGGAGACCUUUUAAUUUUCAAAUGUCUCUAUAAUUGUCUCGCGACCUUAAUUUUUUGGCUAAUGACCUUUGCCGUCGAUUGUAGGUCAGACGUCAAAAAUAUUUUCAUUGCACAAGCAUGAAUGCUCGUUUUUAUUUCAAUAUAUUGUGAAAAUGAAGAAGGCGUCUCAUGUUGCAGUUCGCAACAUUUCAUGAAAAUAUUUUUAUGUCGUUACGGUUACGUAAAUGUAGAUUUACACUUCGAAUCGUUACAAUUCCUAUUAUUCUGAGUAACGUAACAUCGACUUAUCGUUCCUCACGUCACGUUGUAAUCGCAGCAUAGCAUUAAUUAAAGUAAACGAUGACUUUAAAUAUUGCUUAAACUUGUUGCUGAACAACCAUGAGUCGUACACCGGUUCCCACUCCGAGAAGAGGAGACAGAGUGAGACGCGCUCCAGUUCGUUAUGGUUUCGAAGACGACGAACGGGAGAGCAUCAAUGAAGCCGGGGCCAUGAGUGUUUGCUCAUCAGUCUCGAUGUCGUCGAAAGCUUCAUCACGCAAGCCACGCACUGUCUUGUGACGCUCGGUCCGUGAACACGUACCACCACCGUCUUCAUCAGCAUAACUUUACGAUCGGCGUUCACCGUGCCCACUACCGCUGUCGUCUGCGGCUUGGUGUGUAGCAGAGCGUGAUGUUUUUCUUUGCAGCCGUCGACGCCACAUGGCAGUUGUCUAUGACACUGCUGCGUGCGAUGUGACGUACUCAAACACCGCACACAGACGCUGUUUGACUCGGUCCACUUCCAUCUCCGGUCACCGGUCAGCUCUUGGAAAGCUUUGCAGCGCGAAAUCCAAUGGGGCUGCUUACAAAAGUAGCACGAGACCUGCACUCGACUCCGUGUUCCUUGCCCACUGGGACUGGUUGCGUCUGUCGCGGCCACACGACCCACUUCAGCAGCGCUGUCCAUCGCGUAACUCUGCCUUACUUUUCUGGGUAGUGGGCGUGGCUUUGCCGAGCUCAGCGCGAACGGCGCUGAAUUGCCGGUCUUGAGCGUGCUCCUCCAGAAAGUCACAGAAGGUGCGGCAGGUGACGUCACCGUGUUCGUCCGCAUGCUGUCUUCCGUAUGAGCCCCAUGCAUGCUGACUGUCCAGAGGCAGCUUCUCUACGAGCAGGCUGAUCGUUCGAAAGUUGUUCAUUUCGUUUUCGCUUCCCAUCGAUUCGAGGACUGCUAUCGCGUUGUAUACCUCUGUGCUGAAGCGAGCGAGUUCUUCGACAUCCAUGACACUCAUUUUUGAUCGUUCUAGGAGUUUUCUCGUUACAGCUUGAGUUACGCGCAGUUUGUUUCCGAAUCUGGAAUCUAAGACGUGUAGAAUGCGCGUCAGAGAGACUCCAGCCAGGAGGGCACCGUGCACGGCAUUAAAUGCCUCCCCUUUCAGCCUCUCUUUGAGGUGAGACACGAUCUUGGCUUCGGAAAAUAGGCCGCUUUCCAGUGCCUCGUUGACUUGCCGUUUGAACAGUGGGUAGUGUGCCACAUCACCGUCAAAACACAGUACAUCUAACUUAGGAGCCUCAGUAAUCGUGAUAUUCACAGGCUUGUUGGCUUGUUGGCUCUGACACUAAUCGAGAGUGAUUUGGCAGAAGAACUGGGACUUGACACGAAGCCGGACAAGAUGAGAAUUAGGACGAUGACCGGCGUCACAGAGCACGAAGUUGGAAAACUCGACCUUCUCGUCAGCAGCGUCGAAACAGGAAACGAGUUUGAGCUGAAGGAUGCCGUAGCCAUCAACAAGCUGGAACUGAGCAGAAGCCCAGUGACUAUGACGGAACAUCAAGGAAUCAAGACGCACACGUAAGGAUCAUGGCUCGGACUGUAAUGCCGGGCGUGUACAAAACGUCUGUAAUAUGAUACAAUAUAAUAUGAUUUGCGGCCAUCAAAAA